RNAcentral lists this long non-coding RNA (575 nucleotides) under Ricinus communis (castor bean). RNAcentral's name for it is "long non-coding RNA (RCOM_LNC003484)". The record is from RNAcentral. Lineage: Eukaryota; Viridiplantae; Streptophyta; Magnoliopsida; Malpighiales; Euphorbiaceae.
UAAUCUUUAUUUCGAUAUGUGUUGGUUGAGUUCAUCAGAUAAUGAUAUUUAUUAUAUGUGAUGAUUGCGAAUUGGGAAAUGUGGCUUGUAGAACAUGCCGCCUGAUGGGUUACAUCAGGACCGCGUGCGCAUCGGUAAUGAUCAUGGACAUGUAAUAAGAUUUUUAUGGGUUUGCCCUGGUCGAGCAUGGCUCUCUGGGCUGAUUUGAGUAAAUUGCCGGAGGUAAGGUCCCUGGUCGAGCAUUGCUCUCUGGGCGCCGGUAUACUUGGAUAUUUAAGUGACCAGACUGGAGGUAAGGUCCCUGGUCGAGCAUUGCUCUCUGGGCGCCAGUCUUAUUGGAUUAAGAGAGCCAAAAUGGCUACUAGAUUUUGGGGUUUAGGGUUCUACUGAGCCACUCGUCCCGUAAAAGUAAAAAUAUAUUUUUAUUUGUUCAUUUAUUUAUUUAUUAUGGUAUGAUUAUAAUAUGGAUUGUAUUAUGUGUAUGGUUUGAUAUACUGAUUUGAACAAUCUAUGUUUUCUGAGAAGAAUGCAAUAGUUCCCAGAUUAUUUGAUUUUAACUCACUCUCGAGACUGAC